UACGGAGGGGACUAGCGUUGUUCGGAAUUACUGGGCGUAAAGCGCACGUAGGCGGCUUUGUAAGUCAGGGGUGAAAUCCCGGGGCUCAACCUCGGAACUGCCUUUGAUACUGCAAAUCUCGAGUCCGGAAGAGGUGAGUGGAAUUCCUAGUGUAGAGGUGAAAUUCGUAGAUAUUAGGAAGAACACCAGUGGCGAAGGCGGCUCACUGGGCCGGUACUGACGCUGAGGUGCGAAAGCGUGGGGAGCAAACAGG
RNAcentral lists this ribosomal RNA (253 nucleotides) under uncultured bacterium. RNAcentral describes it as "partial 16S ribosomal RNA". It matches the Rfam family "Bacterial small subunit ribosomal RNA", at positions 524 to 776 of the family's 1533-position model. The record is from RNAcentral.